GCUAGCUCAGUCAAUAGAGCACGAGACUCUCAGUUUCAGGGUUGUGGGUUCGAGCCCCAUGUGGGGCA
RNAcentral lists this transfer RNA (68 nucleotides) under Podarcis lilfordi (Lilford's wall lizard). RNAcentral's name for it is "tRNA.Glu". It matches the Rfam family "tRNA". From Rfam's summary of the family: Transfer RNA (tRNA) molecules are approximately 80 nucleotides in length. Their secondary structure includes four short double-helical elements and three loops (D, anti-codon, and T loops). Lineage: Eukaryota; Metazoa; Chordata; Lepidosauria; Squamata; Lacertidae. The record is from RNAcentral.